This is a long non-coding RNA of Drosophila sulfurigaster albostrigata, 487 nucleotides long. RefSeq lists it as uncharacterized. The record is from RefSeq and is a predicted model, not a curated record. The transcript has 2 exons. Lineage: Eukaryota; Metazoa; Arthropoda; Insecta; Diptera; Drosophilidae.
AGUAUAACAUCAACUCAUCCAAGAAAAACUCUUCAACUCAUGUCAGCUUAGCCUUUCGUCUCUUCCUAAACAUUUCAUUCUUACUUUUGUACCCCAACUAGUAACAUCUAAAUUUAUUUUUGUAGUCUCAAAUUGUGUUUGGGUUUCGGAACAUUCUAGUGUAUUAAUCAUGUGCUGUGGACCUUGCGGUGGCUGCUGUGGACCAUGUGGACCUUGCUGUGGUGGCGGGGGCUGCUACGGUCCUAAUGUCUGUGGACCGUGCGGUGCAACGGGACCUUGCUUCGGCUGCUGCGGCGGUCCUUGUUGUGGACCCUGCGGUGGCUGUUGCAGUAGCUGUGGCCCUUCUUGCUAAUGGCUUACUGUGAGAAGCAUGAAACUGGUUUAGCAUUGAAUGAAUGAAUUGAAUGUAAAACUAUGAUUUGAGACUUAAAUUUAACUCUAAAUAUUGGUGGAAAAAUUAAAUAAACAUCAUGUAAGAAUAGGAAAA